UACGGAGGAUCCAAGCGUUAUCCGGAUUCACUGGGUUUAAAGGGUGCGUAGGCGGAAAAAUAAGUCAGUGGUGAAAUCCUAUAGCUUAACUAUGGAACUGCCAUUGAUACUGUUAUUCUUGAGUAUAUUUGGAGUGGGCGGAAUGUGUUGUGUAGCGGUGAAAUGCUUAGAUAUAACACAGAACACCAAUCGCGAAGGCAGCUCACUAAACUAUAACUGACGCUGAGGCACGAAAGCGUGGGGAUCAAAC
Molecule: ribosomal RNA, 250 nt
Filed under: uncultured bacterium
Lineage: Bacteria
Description: partial 16S ribosomal RNA
Rfam family: Bacterial small subunit ribosomal RNA
Source: RNAcentral